Oncorhynchus keta (chum salmon) is the source of this 945-nucleotide long non-coding RNA. RefSeq lists it as uncharacterized. NCBI's taxonomy places the organism in Eukaryota, Metazoa, Chordata, Actinopteri, Salmoniformes, Salmonidae. The record is from RefSeq and is a predicted model, not a curated record. The transcript has 4 exons.
ACUGACAGGCCCACAGGGGUCUAGGCUAGGCUGAACUGUACAUCUCCAGAGCGGCUUGUCAGAGAGCACAGUAAUGGGGAAAUAAACUCAAAGACGGAGGCCCUCAGAGAUAGGAAGGCCCUCUUUGCUCCUCUCCUUUUUGGAGACCUGUCAGGGUUUGCCUAACGGUACUGUGCACGCUCAAAGACACACAGAUACACAAACACACACCCUUACCAUAACCAUUUGGAGUGAAUGCCUAAACUUAACUUUAACACAAUUAUAAUUUUAAGGUCUGCAACAACUUCAAAAUGUGACAUUUGAGAAACAUGGAUGAACAUCUAAUUCUGAUGUGAGACAGUGUUAGUUUCCCAGACCACCAUUAAUCUACCACCAAGCCACAGGACAGGUCUCAUCUACCACCAGGCCACAGGACAGGUCUCAUCUCCCACCAGGCCACAGGACAGGUCUCAUCUACCACCAAGCCACAGGACAGGUCUCCUCUCCCACCAGGCCACAGGACAGGUCUAGGACAGGUCUCAUCUCCCACCAGACCACAAGACAGGUCUCAUCUCCCACCAGACCACAAGACAGGUCUCAUCUCCCACCAGGCCACAAGACAGGUCUCAUCUCCCACCAGGCCACAAGACAGGUCUCAUCUCCCACCAGGCCACAAGACAGGUCUCAUCUCCCACCAGGCCACAAGACAGGUCUCAUCUCCCACCAGGCCACAAGACAGGUCUCAUCUCCCACCAGGCCACAAGACAGGUCUCAUCUCCCACCAGGCCACAAGACAGGUCUCAUCUCCCACCAGGCCACAAGACAGGUCUCAUCUCCCACCAGGCCACAAGACAGGUCUCAUCUCCCACCAGACAGGUCUCAUCUCCCACCAGACCACAAGACAGGUCUCAUCUCCCACCAGACAAGUCUAAUCUCCCACCAGGCCACAAGACAGGUCUCAUCUCC